Molecule: long non-coding RNA, 690 nt
Filed under: Pongo abelii (Sumatran orangutan)
Lineage: Eukaryota; Metazoa; Chordata; Mammalia; Primates; Hominidae
Description: lincRNA
Source: RNAcentral
GUUGCCAUGGCAAUAAUCUGUAAUUGUGCAGAAAAUCCACAGAACUCGUGAGCAACUCCUUAGUGGAUUGGGCUGAAAGAAAAUCAAACCCGUGAAAGCCCUGAAUUGAUGUGGUUAUAAAAGCGCAUUGGCCAAGCUGGCUUUCCUCCCUCUGACCCCCAUCUAACUAUGGUGAACGCCCUCGUUCCCACAGGUCUAAGAAAGUCAAGGACUUGAUAUUUACAAUUCAUUGGCUCUACACAAAUGGAGAUCUGCACUCAGAAGCCACAGAAAAAGAAGAAAAUGCAGUUCACCACCUCCCAGCAGUCCUGGUGGUGUAGGAGGAUGUGCCGAGGCCAAUCUUUGAUGGCUGCUGGUUACUUCCUCAUAGCAGUGUUAGGCUGGGGACAGCAGGCCGGAAAGGAGUGCUUGGAGAGUGUCUUGACCUUCACAGAUGUCUUGCGAAAGGAACGAUCGAAUGGCACACAUCUGUGAAUAGACAGCCACGUCUCUGCUGCCAGAAUACAGCUGCUGAGGUGUUUGGGGCUUACUUGGAGAAAUGAGGACAUUGAUCUGGGUGGAUGGUAGUAGCUGUACACAUACAAAGUACUGUUCAAUUCUUUGCUAAGGUUUUAUGUACACUCUGAGGAUAUCAGAGAAUUCGGAGAAAAUCCAUGGCACAGAUUGGAUGCAUAAUACAUGUAUGUACUU